This 89-nucleotide transfer RNA is filed under the name Clostridiales bacterium. RNAcentral's name for it is "tRNA-Leu". It matches the Rfam family "tRNA". Rfam says of the family: Transfer RNA (tRNA) molecules are approximately 80 nucleotides in length. Lineage: Bacteria; Bacillati; Bacillota; Clostridia; Eubacteriales. The record is from RNAcentral.
GCUGGAGUGGCGGAAUUGGCAGACGCACAUGACUCAAAAUCCAGUGGGGCUCAAACUCCGUGUGGGUUCAAGUCCCACCUUCGGCACCA